RNAcentral lists this transfer RNA (72 nucleotides) under Sphaerodactylus townsendi. RNAcentral describes it as "tRNA-Ala". Lineage: Eukaryota; Metazoa; Chordata; Lepidosauria; Squamata; Sphaerodactylidae. The record is from RNAcentral.
GGGGUAGUGGCUCAGUGGAAGUGUUUUUGCUUUGCAUGUAGAAUGUCCCAGGUUCAAUCCCCUGCAUCUCCA